Molecule: ribosomal RNA, 490 nt
Filed under: uncultured bacterium
Lineage: Bacteria
Description: partial 16S ribosomal RNA
Rfam family: Bacterial small subunit ribosomal RNA
Source: RNAcentral
GAUGAACGCUCGCUACAGGCUUAACACAUGCAAGUCGAGGGGCAGCAUGGUCUUAGCUUGCUAAGGCCGAUGGCGACCGGCGCACGGGUGAGUAACACGUAUCCAACCUGCCGUCUACUCUUGGACAGCCUUCUGAAAGGAAGAUUAAUACAAGAUGGCAUCAUGAGUCCGCAUGUUCACAUGAUUAAAGGUAUUCCGGUAGACGAUGGGGAUGCGUUCCAUUAGAUAGUAGGCGGGGUAACGGCCCACCUAGUCUUCGAUGGAUAGGGGUUCUGAGAGGAAGGUCCCCCACAUUGGAACUGAGACACGGUCCAAACUCCUACGGGAGGCAGCAGUGAGGAAUAUUGGUCAAUGGGCGCAGGCCUGAACCAGCCAAGUAGCGUGAAGGAGGACUGCCCUAUGGGUUGUAAACUUCUUUUAUAAAGGAAUAAAGUCGGGUAUGUAUACCCGUUUGCAUGUACUUUAUGAAUAAGGAUCGGCUAACUCCGUG